RNAcentral lists this ribosomal RNA (1450 nucleotides) under Arthrobacter sp. c143. RNAcentral's name for it is "partial 16S ribosomal RNA". It matches the Rfam family "Bacterial small subunit ribosomal RNA". The record is from RNAcentral. Lineage: Bacteria; Bacillati; Actinomycetota; Actinomycetes; Micrococcales; Micrococcaceae.
GUGUUAUGCUACUGUAUUGCAGUCGAACGAUGGACCGGUGCUUGCUCCGUGGAUUAGUGGCGAACGGGUGAGUAACACGUGAGAAACCUGCCGUUAACUCUGGAAUAAGCCUGGGAAAGUGGGUCUAAUACCGGAUAUGACUCCUCAUCACAUGGUGGGACCUGGAAAGCUUUUUUGUGGUUUGAGCCUAGGUCGGAUUAUAUAGUUGGUUGGUAAUGGCUCACCUCGGCGACGAUACGAAACUGGUCUGAGAGGAUGAUCUGACCCACUGCAACUGAAAUGAGACCCAGACUCCAACCCUACGCAACGCUGGGGAAUAUUGUAUUGUGGGCGAAAGCCUGAUCCGAUCCUGCCACGUGUGUGAAGAAAGGAUUCCCAUUGGAUUGCACUUUUCUUUCGGAAGAAAGGAAGCAAACUAGAACCUUGCUGUUUUGAAGUUACCGACUUAACUACGUGCCGGCAUAACGUCUGUAAUACGUACCGCGGUAAUACGUAAUCCGGAAUUAUAUGUUAAUCGAAAGCUCGUGAGCGUAAUUGUCGCGUCUGCCGUGAUCGUUUCGUUGGAUCAACUCCUCCAUCUGCUCUGCCUGCGAACUGACUACAGUGAUGUAGAGCUAGACUGAAAUUCCAGGUGUUGCGAUGAAAUGUGUAGAUAUCGAGACGCACACAUAUGGCGAAGGCAGGUCUCUGCGAAUUAAAUGACGCUGACGGAGCGAAAGCAUGGGGAUGCGAACAGGAUUAGAUAUCGUGGUAGUGCAUGCCGUAAACGUAGGGCACUAGGUGUGAGGGGACAUUACACGUUUUCACGCGCGGUAGCAUAACGCAUUAAGUAAGCCGCCUGGGGAUGUACGGCCGCAAGGAUAAAACUCAAAGGAAUGAUGACGGGGGCCCGCACAAGCGGCGGAGCAUGCGGAUUAAUUAGAUGCAACGAGAAGAACCUUCCCAAGCCUUGACAUGCGGCGCGGACCGGGCUGGAUAACACAUCCGUUCGCCCUCUGGGGUCGGCUCACAGGUGGUGCAUGGUUGUCGUCAGCUAGUGUCGUGAGAUGGUGGGUUAAGUACCGCAACGAGCGCAACCCUCCUUCCAUGUUGCCAGCGCGUAAUGGCGGGGAGUCAUGGGAGACUGCCGGGGUCAACUCGGAGGAAGGAGGGGAGGACGUCAAAUCAUCAUGCCCCUUAUGUCUUGGGCUUCACGCACGCUACAAUCACCGGUACAAAGGGAUGCGAUACAAUGAGGGGGAGGUAAUCCCAAAAACCCGGUCUCAGUUAGGAUGGGGGUCUGCAACUCGACCCCAUGAAGUAGGUGUCGAUAGUAAUCGCAGAUCAGCAACAAUGCGGCGAAUACGUUCCCGGCCCUCGUACACCCCGCCCGUCAACUCACCAAAGGAGGUAACACCCGCAGCCGGUGGUCUAACCCCUUCGGGACGGAGCUACAGAUAUGUCUGUCCGC